RNAcentral lists this long non-coding RNA (308 nucleotides) under Mytilus galloprovincialis (Mediterranean mussel). Lineage: Eukaryota; Metazoa; Mollusca; Bivalvia; Mytilida; Mytilidae. The record is from RNAcentral.
GUUGUAGAUAGAGGAGAGGUUGUAAAAAGGCCAUGGUUUUUAAUGUUGUUUGUGGAUUUAGAGUUCAGCGUCAAUUUUUUUCUGAUGGUCUGAUAUAAAAUCAAUGAAACAUAUUCCCUUUAUAACGGGCUUCCACGAUCUGUAAAUGUAAUUAUUUAAGAGAGGAAGAAGUUGAAUGACCAAUUAUCCAAUGAUGCAGAAAUGUACAUUCUGAUUUUUUCUCCUGUCAAGAUCUCUUAAUAGAGGCCAGGUUAUUUGAAAUUGAUCAUGAAUACAAAAAUAUUGUGAGGAAAAAGAACCAUUAAGCU